UUUUUUUUUUUUUUUUGGUAUUUCCAUACUCUUUGGUCUUUUACAUACUAAUCCCUAAUGAGUUGACAGUGUAAUCUUGCAAAACUACUUAAUCUCUUGCUAAAAAACUGAAAAAUAAUUGCAAAUCCUUGCAAAAUUUACUAUCAUGGGUUGCUUCUCUGUUAAAGAGAAACUUUUCUUCUUUCAUAUUACAGUAGAUUACGUUUGUAUUUUCAUAAUUUUUUUUAUUAAUUAAAGCUAUGUACACUUUCGUCUUUUUACAUAUUAAUUUCUGUUGAGUUAUCAGUGUGAUAUCUGCAAAUCAACAUAAAUCUUCUGCCAAAUCUCUGAAAAAUCUUUGCAAAUCCCUGCAAGAUUUACUAUCAGUCAGUUGGUUCUUGCUUUCUUGCAGGGGUUUCGGCUGUCCCUUGGUAAACUAUUGGGAUUAAUGGCUACAUUUAGUUGAGGUUGUUCAGUGUUAUUUAGCUAAGUAUAUAAAUAGCCUUUAAUUCAUCAGUUUCAUUUAUUGUUGGUUUUUUUCUCUAAAUCAAGGUUACUUUGCAUUCCUUUUUAAAUGGGUUUAUGUUGUUUCCUCUGCUUUUCUUUUGUACUAUCAUUUGGUUUUUUGUUUACUCUUCCUUUUGCUGAUAUUGUUGUCCUUUUAUUUGGUAUAGGUGCUGUCGGAAGUCUCUGCUUAUUUAUAGAGGUGAUUCACCUAAGCUGUUUUCUAUCUAGAGCAAUGUAAGUUCCUAUGAUCCUCAACAAAUAGAAGUCAGGGUUUCAGGUUGAUGAGAUAAAAGGUGGCGUGGCUAGUGGAAGCAUCCCCUAGUAAGCAAAGGCCAUUCAGCAACAAGUCGACAGACUCACAGAAGACAUAAAUGUCAUCCAAGGAGAGAGAGUGAAUGAAGAUAAGAGCGUGAGAGGAUUGAUAUUUUAUUUUUCUGGUUCAAAUCUGAUGUUGAGAAAAAGUCAAGAGUUCUUAAUGAACGAAAGGCAAGGGAAGAAAAAGAUGUUGAAGAAGAAAUGCAGCUCAACAUUGCAAAAGAGUUUGAUGAAUUCAUAUCCCACCAAGGAGGUUUACAGUUGUUUAUGUUUUUGUUUCUCUAUGUGCUUAAGUUUGAUUUAAUUUUUCUUCUUCUAUUGGAUCUUCUCAUGUUAAGAUUUCUUUUAUUUUCUUAAUGACCCAGGAACUUGAAGAUGAAGCACACAGGCCCCCACCACGAAGUUUUAUGUCCUUUGCUCAAUAAUCUUUUUCCCAUUAAUUUGUUUUUUAGAAGUUAUUAAUUUAGUCGAAUCAUGAUGAUCAAGAUUUUGUUUUUGCUGAAAAUCACUUUAAAUAGAUUGUUAUAUUUAUGGUUUUACUUGGUGGUGAUGGUGGUUUGUAUUUAAUCCAUUUGAUCAUUUUGAAGUUGUCUGAUUGAGGAUUUAAUUGAGGAAUGAGUAGUAACAUUUUGAUCCUUCAGGGGUAUUUAAGUCAAGAUGCUCUAGCUACAGUCAAGGAAUUACUUCUGGAUUCUACUGGAGGUGACCUUCAACUGUUUGCUCCUGGCCUGAUGAGGCCCAAUUCCACUAUCACUAGAGUAGCUCUUUACAUUAUAUUGAUACACCUGAUUAUAAGUGUAGUUAUCAAUAUUGUAUUAAGUAUGCCUUGCUAAUGAUGUUCAUUGGUUUAGUUAUAGACAUAAAGUAGUUUUUUUUUUUCCAAGUUCCCUACUGUGUUAGUGUCAAUAUGUUUAUGUUUCUAU
Molecule: unclassified non-coding RNA, 1724 nt
Filed under: Hevea brasiliensis (rubber tree)
Lineage: Eukaryota; Viridiplantae; Streptophyta; Magnoliopsida; Malpighiales; Euphorbiaceae
Source: RNAcentral